AUUGAACGCUGGCGGCAGGCCUAACACAUGCAAGUCGAACGAGUGGCGGACGGGUGAGUAAUGUCUGGGAAACUGCCUGCUGGAGGGGGAUAACUACUGGAAACGGUAGCUAAUACCGCAUACCAUCAGAUGUGCCCAGAUGGGAUUAGCUUGUUGGUGGGGUAACGGCUCACCAAGGCGACGAGCCCUAGCUGGUCGGAGAGGAUGACCAGCCAGACGGGAACUGCGACACGGUCCAGAUGCCUACGGGAGGCAGCAGUGGGGAAGAUUGCACAAGGGGCGCAAGCCGGAUGCAGCCAUGCCGCGUGGAUGAAGAAGGCCGUCGGGUUGUAAAGUACUUUCAGCGGGGAGGCGUUACCCGCAGAAGAAGCACCGGCUAACGCCGUGCCAGCAGCCGCGGUAAUAC
RNAcentral lists this ribosomal RNA (406 nucleotides) under uncultured bacterium. RNAcentral's name for it is "partial 16S ribosomal RNA". It matches the Rfam family "Bacterial small subunit ribosomal RNA", at positions 29 to 526 of the family's 1533-position model. The record is from RNAcentral.